RNAcentral lists this ribosomal RNA (578 nucleotides) under Streptomyces sp. ACM18. RNAcentral describes it as "bacterial SSU rRNA". It matches the Rfam family "Bacterial small subunit ribosomal RNA", at positions 24 to 621 of the family's 1533-position model. Lineage: Bacteria; Bacillati; Actinomycetota; Actinomycetes; Kitasatosporales; Streptomycetaceae. The record is from RNAcentral. RNAcentral also lists the same sequence under 1 other name.
UCAGGACGAACGCUGGCGGCGUGCUUAACACAUGCAAGUCGAACGAUGAAGCCUUCGGGUGGAUUAGUGGCGAACGGGUGAGUAACACGUGGGCAAUCUGCCCUGCACUCUGGGACAAGCCCUGGAAACGGGGUCUAAUACCGGAUAAUACUGUUCCCCUCCUGGGGGAUGGUUGAAAGCUCCGGCGGUGCAGGAUGAGCCCGCGGCCUAUCAGCUUGUUGGUGGGGUAAUGGCCUACCAAGGCGACGACGGGUAGCCGGCCUGAGAGGGCGACCGGCCACACUGGGACUGAGACACGGCCCAGACUCCUACGGGAGGCAGCAGUGGGGAAUAUUGCACAAUGGGCGAAAGCCUGAUGCAGCGACGCCGCGUGAGGGAUGACGGCCUUCGGGUUGUAAACCUCUUUCAGCAGGGAAGAAGCGAAAGUGACGGUACCUGCAGAAGAAGCGCCGGCUAACUACGUGCCAGCAGCCGCGGUAAUACGUAGGGCGCAAGCGUUGUCCGGAAUUAUUGGGCGUAAAGAGCUCGUAGGCGGUCUGUCACGUCGGGUGUGAAAGCCCGGGGCUUAACCCCGGGUC